ACUUGCCGUAUGACAGAACUUCUUCCUUAUUAGCAUUACCCCUGUAUUACUUAGAGAAUUCACCUGUGAGUUGCUGUUUGCUGGGACUUAAGUGAUUUUCCUGUGACUUCAUCUUCUGUAAAAAAGCUGUUGCUAAGUUCAGUGAUUCAGAAUUAGCAUGAAGUUACAGGGGUAUAAACUAUCCAUUUAGACCACGUUAUUGGGAGGUUUUUUAGCUCUUUGAUCUGGCUUAAUUUCUGACAGAUACUGUGUUUGCUGUAGUAGCCCAAGGAACUACUAGAAGUCCGCAUAUCAGAAGACAGAGGAAAAUUGGCAGAGGUCUUGUCAUGCUAGUUGGCAGUUUUUCACUGAGUAACCAUGCUUUGGAGUGUACUGCCAGACUUGCAAUGCUGGAUGCUCAGGCAAGAAAGCAGCAAGAAUAGGCUACUCUGCGUUUUAAGUUGUUUGGAGCUACAUCUGUGCAGCUGUGACUGAAGUCUGGACAUAGUGAUUCAAGCCUCCUUCCCAAAAUGCAGCUUGCUUUUAUGACUUUUUCCAGGAGCUCUAGCAAGACACCAAGCAACUUUAGCUAAAUUCUUGG
This 580-nucleotide long non-coding RNA is filed under the name Gallus gallus (chicken). RNAcentral's name for it is "long non-coding RNA NONGGAT003356". The record is from RNAcentral. Lineage: Eukaryota; Metazoa; Chordata; Aves; Galliformes; Phasianidae.